AGUUACCUGUAUCACCUGUGCUUCACGUGCGUCAGUUACCUGCAUCACUUGCAUUACCUACGUCACAGACUGGAUAAAAGAUACAGACCCUGACCCAUAGCGCUUUCUCUCCCCCCCCCUUCCUCAUUUCUUCCCCUCACCCCCCCCCGCCCCCCUUUCAGAGGUGCCUAAGUCAGUAAAGGCCUCUCAUGUGAUACCUGUGCUGGCUUGGCAUGAUCUUUCCUGGAAUGCACCGUCUCCUAUAACAGUCACAGGAGGAUAUGGUAUCUUCUUCUGGCCUCUGUGGGCACUGAACACGUGGUUAUAAAAAUACAGGCAGGGUCUCCCUGUAAGAAAAGCAUUUUGUGCCAGGGUGAAGUGGUUGUGUGAAGGAGGGCCUAUUAAGUGCUUAUGAAUUAAGUAGAGGAGAAAGCAAGGAUUCUGGGAAAUUUGAUAAACUCUGUCACAUCUUGACUGUGGGCUGCUCAGCCGCUGUCUUGCUAUCAGAAGAUGCCAGCAAUGGAAAAAGUCAGGAACGUUAUCUCAGGGACAAAACCAGCUGACAUAGGGUAAUCUUUGUUGUCACCCUA
Molecule: long non-coding RNA, 569 nt
Filed under: Mus caroli (Ryukyu mouse)
Lineage: Eukaryota; Metazoa; Chordata; Mammalia; Rodentia; Muridae
Description: lncRNA (MGP_CAROLIEiJ_G0013748.1)
Source: RNAcentral